Cornus florida is the source of this 2369-nucleotide long non-coding RNA. RefSeq lists it as uncharacterized. NCBI's taxonomy places the organism in Eukaryota, Viridiplantae, Streptophyta, Magnoliopsida, Cornales, Cornaceae. The record is from RefSeq and is a predicted model, not a curated record. The transcript has 2 exons.
UUUUUUCUUUUCUUCUCUUUUCUUAACUAACAUAAUUACACAUGUAUGACGUGCCAUUCAUACAUGUACCACUUCAAAGCUUACUUAUAGUACUAGAGAGAUUGAAAGGAAAACCUAACUUCACUUGACUUGCAUUACUAACCACCCAUUUAUAAUCUUGAAAUUCAUAUUACUCCAUAGACAACCAAGCACUAUUUCCUCCUUAUGCAGUACUCAUUCAAGCACAAAUUAAGUCUACUGCAAGACAAAUUUCUUUAACAAAAAAAAAAAUGGCUGAGAGUGCAGUUUUCGUUCUACUAAACAAGCUUGCAACCUUACUCCAGGAAGAGGUGAAACUGUUUAGUGAAGUUCGCAAAGAAGUUAUUUACAUCAAAGCUGAAUUCGAGAGCAUGACUACUUUCUUUAGAGUUGCCGAUUCAAUGGAAGAGAGUGACCCAGCAAUCAAUAUAUGGGUUAAGCAAGUGAGAGAAGUUGCUCAUGACACCGAAGACUUUCUUGAUGUUUUCAUGCUCCGUCUGAUGCCUCAUCGUCAUGAGGGGGAACAGAUACCUUAUUUUUCUUCGGAAGACUUUUCAUUCUCUCAAGAGCAUAAAAGUCCGGCUUCAAAUUGCUUCUGAGAUACAAAGCAUCAAAACCAAAGUCAGGGAUGUUGCUGAGAGACAUUACAGAUACUGUCGCAAGUUUAAUAUCUCAAAAGGCAGCUCAAGCUCCACCACUCAUGUGGUAAACAACAACAAACGGUAUGAUUCGCGAGGUGAUGCACUCCUUGUACCAGAAACUGAGCUUGUAGGUAUCGACAAGCAUAAGCAGGAGCUAAUUCGUUUGCUGGUCCAUCAGGUGGAUGAUUCAGGAGCACUAAAAGUGGUUUCUGUUGUGGGAAUGGGAGGAUUGGGUAACUGUUUCUGAAUCACCUAAGAUGGAAGAGCUCCUAAGAGAAAUGAUUCAACAACUCUUUGGUAAGAUAAAGCAAUCCAUCCCCCAAGGAUUGCAAAAGAUGGAUAUUAACAGGCUCAAACAGGUUAUUAAUGAAUUUUUGCAGCAGAGGAGGUAGUUGGUUGUCUUUGAUGACAUUUGGAGUAUUCAUGCUUAGGAAGCUGUCAGAUAUGUUUUCCCCAACAACAAUUCUGGUAGUCGAAUAGUGCUUAAAACACGUUUCGGGGAUAUAGCUUCUACCUCUUGCCAAGUAACUGGUGGUAACGUUUAUCAUUUGCAUCCAUUGUCUUGGGAAGAAUCUUAGAUUCUCUUUUGUAGAAAGGCAUUUCCGGGCAACACCUCCUGCCCUCCGCAUUUGGAGGAGAUUUCUAAAAGUAUCUUAAAAAGAUGUGGAGGGUUGCUGUAGGGAAACGUGAUUUUUUUUUUAAUUUGCAUCCAUUGUCUUGAGAAGAAUCUUGGAUUCUCUUUUGCAGAAAGGCAUUUUCGGGCAACACCUCCUGCCCUCCGCAUUUGGAGGAGAUUUCUAAAAGUAUCUGUAGUGAUUUCAAUUUUCACCAUUUUUCAUUUUUGGAAAUUUUUUAUUUUUUCCAGGGUAUUUUCAUCCUUCCUCGUUUUUGAGUGCUAGACACCGUGGAGUGUGCCGGUUAUGUCCGAGAGUUGGUGGAGGUGUUUCAUUGAGUUCAGGGCUCUUUGAAAUGUAAGGGUCGCCAUUUCGGCAUUUUUCUAUUUUCGGGACGGACAGUCCCGUGUGGGACCCGCUACUGGAACUGUUGCAUAUGGGGAUUUUGGUUGGGUCCAAUUGCAUCAUGUUCAUUUUAAUUAAUAUGUUGUGUGUGACUAUUUUUAAUAGUUGAUGAAUAUGUAAAUUUAUGGAGGGAAUUAAUGAGAAAAAGAAAAAGGAAAAGAAAAGGAAAAUUGAGUGAGACCCACCCCCCACCUUAAAGGGGUUAGAGACCACUUUUUGGUCUCUCAAUUUCUCUCUUCUCCCGUAUCUCUCUCCCUCCUCUUCUUGUUUUUUUUUUUCGUUUUUUUUUUUUUUGGUUCCAAAUUUCAAUUCUUGAUCUCUCUCUCAAUAUUUGGUAUUUUUGAGUGCCGUUUGCGGCAAAUGGAAGAUCACGGUGAGUUCUACGAAUUGAUGAAGCAAUUUUGUGUUUGGUGCACUCUAGGAGACUUGGGAUUUAGGGUACAAAUAGGGGCUUUUUACAUAUCUUGAGGUUCGGGAAAAGAAGUGGCGGGCGAUAAUCCAUCGCAACUUUAGCUUGGAUUAGAAGAAUGUCUCUUUUUGCUAUAUUUUGUAAUUGGGCCUAAUUUUUGUAAAGUGUUAACUAAAAAUGUAUUAUUUUGCAACAAGUGAUGUAUUUAGGUUCAUUUUGUAUAUGGCCAUUAUGGAAAUGUAAUUAUGUUUUAAUCACAAUAUAUCCCUUUAUGUCUUUUAA